AGGACGAACGCUGGCGGCGUGCUUAACACAUGCAAGUCGAACGGUGAAAGAGAGCUUGCUCUCUGGAUCAGUGGCGAACGGGUGAGUAACACGUGAGUAACCUGCCCUUGACUCUGGGAUAAGCACUGGAAACGGUGUCUAAUACCGGAUACGACCUACGAAGGCAUCUUCUGUAGGUGGAAAGAAUUUUGGUCAAGGAUGGACUCGCGGCCUAUCAGCUAGUUGGUGAGGUAAUGGCCCACCAAGGCGACGACGGGUAGCCGGCCUGAGAGGGUGACCGGCCACGACUGGGACUGAGACACGGCCCAGACUCCUACGGGAGCAGCAGUGGGAAUAUUGCACAAUGGGCGCAAGCCUGAUGCAGCAACGCCGCGUGAGGGACGACGGGACCUUCGGGUUGUAAACCUCUUUUAGUAGGAGAAGCGAAAGUGACGUACCUGCAGAAAACGCACCGCUAACUACGUGCCAGCAGCCGC
Molecule: ribosomal RNA, 476 nt
Filed under: uncultured soil bacterium
Lineage: Bacteria
Description: bacterial SSU rRNA
Rfam family: Bacterial small subunit ribosomal RNA
Source: RNAcentral